AAAACUUAGGUACAAUUCCUUAGGUGUUUUUCGUAUGGUUCUUAACUAAAAAUACAUAUUUUUUGGAUAUAACAAACUUUGAAAAAAUUAUGAAUUUGAGGAAAUCAUGGUGAAUUUAAUUAAGAACCAUACAAAAAGCACCUAAGGAAUUCUACCAAAGUUUU
MicroRNA precursor from Medicago truncatula (barrel medic), 164 nucleotides. It matches the Rfam family "MIR2606 microRNA precursor family". The record is from Rfam. NCBI's taxonomy places the organism in Eukaryota, Viridiplantae, Streptophyta, Magnoliopsida, Fabales, Fabaceae.